Molecule: non-coding RNA, 71 nt
Organism: Stegodyphus mimosarum
Lineage: Eukaryota; Metazoa; Arthropoda; Arachnida; Araneae; Eresidae
Source: Rfam
GCCUUCGUAGUGUAACGGUAGCACACCCGGCGCGUAUUCGAGAGGUCCAGGUUCGAGUCCCGGCGAGGGCA